AUUGAACGCUGGCGGCAUGCCUUACACAUGCAAGUCGAACGGCAGCACGGGAGCAAUCCUGGUGGCGAGUGGCGAACGGGUGCGUAACGCGUGGGAAUCUGCCCAGUAGCGGGGGACAACUCGGGGAAACUCGAGCUAAUACCGCAUACGCCCUACGGGGGAAAGGCUUCGGCCACUAUUGGAUGAGCCCGCGUCGGAUUAGCUUGUUGGUGGGGUAAUGGCCUACCAAGGCGACGAUCCGUAGCUGGUCUGAGAGGAUGAUCAGCCACACUGGGACUGAGACACGGCCCAGACUCCUACGGGAGGCAGCAGUGGGGAAUAUUGCGCAAUGGGCGAAAGCCUGAUGCAGCAACGCCGCGUGGAGGAUGACACAUUUCGGUGCGUAAACUCCUUUUAUAUAGGAAGAUAAUGACGGUACUAUAUGAAUAAGCACCGGCUAACUCCGUG
Molecule: ribosomal RNA, 447 nt
Filed under: uncultured bacterium
Lineage: Bacteria
Description: bacterial SSU rRNA
Rfam family: Bacterial small subunit ribosomal RNA
Source: RNAcentral